AUGGUUUUCCCAGGAAGGGGAAGGAUCCGUGUCGAUGCUGACAGUGUUCAUAGGGUAUUUGAUCUCCCAAACAGGGGUCAAAAAGUCAGAUAUGUAGUUGGCAAGGAUGCAACUAGGAGAUUUAGAGAGGCUUUCAACAUAACUGGAAAUUCUCAUCCCCAUAUCACUACAUGGUGCAAGAUGAUUCAGGAUAUGGCUGGAAGAACGAAUGACACAUUCUUUAUGGUCUGGCUUGCGGUUUCCUUCAGCACUUUUCUAGCACCAACCAUGGCCCUGAAGCUCAGCCCAAAGUGCUACGGACUUGUGCUAGACCAUGAAAUGCUCAAGAACACAAACAUCUGCCUCUUUGUAGCAGAACACAUAAAUGAAGCUUUCCCGAACAUGGACCAGGAGAAGCAAACCAUCUGCUGCUGCUUGUAUCACUUGAUGGUGAUCAAGAAGGACACGAUCUCUCCUGGUGUGCUCGGCAAAUUACAACUUAAAGAGGAGUAUAGAGGCACGGAGCAGACCACUGUUUGGUGGUAUUUUGCAAGCUGA
RNAcentral lists this ribosomal RNA (537 nucleotides) under Triticum aestivum (bread wheat). RNAcentral describes it as "partial small subunit ribosomal RNA". Lineage: Eukaryota; Viridiplantae; Streptophyta; Magnoliopsida; Poales; Poaceae. The record is from RNAcentral.